UGGGGAAUUUUGGACAAUGGGGGAAACCCUGAUCCAGCCAUCCCGCGUGUGCGAUGAAGGCCUUCGGGUUGUAAAGCACUUUUGGCAGGAAAGAAACGCCAUGGGUUAAUACCCCGUGAAACUGACGGUACCUGCAGAAUAAGCACCGGAUAACUACGUGCCAGCAGCCGCGGUAAUACGUAGGGUGCAAGCGUUAAUCGGAAUUACUGGGCGUAAAGCGUGCGCAGGCGGUUCGGAAAGAAAGAUGUGAAAUCCCAGAGCUCAACUUUGGAACUGCAUUUUUAACUACCGGGCUAGAGUGUGUCAGAGGGAGGUGGAAUUCCGCGUGUAGCAGGGAAAUGCGUAGAUAUGCGGAGGAACACCGAUGGCGAAGGCAGCCUCCUGGGAUAACACUGACGCUCAUGCACGAAAGCGUGGGGAGCAAACAGG
RNAcentral lists this ribosomal RNA (429 nucleotides) under Acidobacteriota bacterium. RNAcentral describes it as "Acidobacteria bacterium partial 16S ribosomal RNA". It matches the Rfam family "Bacterial small subunit ribosomal RNA", at positions 355 to 776 of the family's 1533-position model. The record is from RNAcentral. Lineage: Bacteria; Pseudomonadati; Acidobacteriota.